Molecule: ribosomal RNA, 465 nt
Filed under: uncultured bacterium
Lineage: Bacteria
Description: partial 16S ribosomal RNA
Rfam family: Bacterial small subunit ribosomal RNA
Source: RNAcentral
CCUACGGGUGGCAGCAGUGGGGAAUAUUGCGCAAUGGGCGAAAGCCUGACGCAGCGACGCCGCGUGAGGGAUGAAGGUCUUCGGAUCGUCAACCUCUGUCAGAAGGGAAGAACGGUCACUGUGCUAAUCAGCAGUGAAUUGACGGUACCUGCAAAGGAAGCACCGGCUACCUCCGUGCCAGCAGCCGCGGUAAUACGGCGGGUGCGAGCGUUAAUCGGAAUUAUUGGGCGUAAAGCGCUCGUAGGCGGUAUGUCAAGUCAAGGGUGAAAUCCCCGCGCACAAAGUGGGAAAUGCCUUUGAAACUGGCAAACUGGAGUGUGUGAGAGGAUAGUGGAAUUCCAGGUGUAGGAGUGAAAUCCGUAGAUAUCUGGAGGAACAUCAGUGGCGAAGGCGACUAUCUGGCACAUAACUGACGCUGAGGAGCGAAAGCGUGGGUAGCAAACAGGAUUAGAUACCCGAGUAGUC